GUCAUUUUCCCUGAUUGAUUAGUGUCCUAUUUACGUUGCCUGUUUUUCGUCCUUAGUUGUUGUACCGUUAAUACAACUUAAGUCACAUUUGUGGUUGGUUCUGUUAUGACUGUUAUUGCCUUUUGUUUAUGCACUGUGGCUUGAUUUUUAUUUUUUUUAGAGUGCUUUUUCUUGAGGUUUAUUUUUUAACUUUACUAAGUUCCUGAUAGUCCUGGUACCCAUGUGUUUUUACCUGUUCCCCGAGCCUGUUCCUGUAUCUGUCUGCAAAGAAGCCAAGAAGAAAUAAAUGCUUCUGUGCUCCGCUGGGGAUGUCGCUCCCUAACCCUCACCCUAACCCUAACCGUCUUCCUGCAUAGGAGCUGUAUAAAGUCCAUCUUCAAAUGCAAAUUAGAAAAAGUGACAUGGAGAUGGACCUUCUACAACUUCAAAUGGAGGGAAAAAAGGAGAUAAAUAAACAAUGAACCACACUUGACUGUUCACUUUGUGCAUUAGUCUUUUAAUUAUAAGUGAUUUUGGCAGAUCACAUCAACACCCUGCAAUCUCUCUAGUCCACUGUGUUCACUUGGGGAUUGUCUUGAUCAUGUUCAUAAAGAGGGCCUUGAAAUAUGCUGGUGUUGUGUAGGUGAUCACUGGUGUGUGUGUGUGUGUGUGUGUGUGUGUGUGUGUGUAGGUGACACUGGUGUGUGUGUGUGUGUAGGUGAUCACUGGUGUGUGUAGGUGAUCACUGGUGUGUGUAGGUGAUCACUGGUGUGUGUGUGUGUGUGUGUGUGUGUAGGUGAUCACUGGUGUGUUUAGGUGAUCACUGGUGUGUGUGUGUGUGUGUGUGUCUAGGUGAUCACUGGUGUGUAGGUGAUCAGUGGUGUGUGUGUAGGUGAUCACUGGUGUGUGUGAGUCUAGAUGAUCACUGGUGUGUGUGUGUAGG
Molecule: long non-coding RNA, 922 nt
Organism: Ictalurus punctatus (channel catfish)
Lineage: Eukaryota; Metazoa; Chordata; Actinopteri; Siluriformes; Ictaluridae
Source: Ensembl